AAUUACCGAAGGAAAAGAAUAACAAGGAUUCCCCUAGUAACGGCGAGUGAAGAGGGAAGAGCUCAAAUUUGAAAGCUGGUACCUUCGGUAUCCGCGUUGUAACCUCGAGACACGUUUUCCGUGCGGCGCUAUGGACAAGUUCCUUGGAACAGGACAUCGUAGAGGGUGAAAAUCCCGUACUUGCCAUGGAUGUACCGUGCUUUGCGAUACGUGCUCUAAGAGUCGAGUUGUUUGGGAUUGCAGCUCAAAAUGGGUGGUAGACUCCAUCUAAAGCUAAAUAUCGGGGAGAGACCGAUAGCGAACAAGUACCGUGAGGGAAAGAUGAAAAGCACUUUGGAAAGAGAGUUAAAAGUACGUGAAAUUGUCGAAAGGGAAGCGCUUGAAGUCAGCCAUGCCGCUCAGGACUCAGCCUGGCUUUUGCUUGGUGUAUUUCCUGGGUAGCAAGUCAGCAUUGGUUUGGAUCGUCGGAGAAGCAUAGUCGGAAUGUGGCGCCCUCGGGCGUGUUAUAGCCUUCUAUUGGAUACGACGAUCUAGACCAAGGAACGCAGCGCGCCUUAUGGCGGGUCUUCGGACACCUUCGCGCUUAGGAUGCGGCGUAUGGCUU
This 604-nucleotide ribosomal RNA is filed under the name Malassezia furfur. Its description in RNAcentral is "LSU rRNA". It matches the Rfam family "Eukaryotic large subunit ribosomal RNA", at positions 45 to 640 of the family's 3401-position model. Lineage: Eukaryota; Fungi; Basidiomycota; Malasseziomycetes; Malasseziales; Malasseziaceae. The record is from RNAcentral.